AGAUCUAUAAAACAAAUGAAAAAAAGCUGUAAAAAAAAUGAAAUCCAAACUAAAACUGGAACAGCAACGGAUCAUAAUAAAACGAUGACAAGAAAAGCCCCUACGUGGCAAAUAUAGGGUUAAGCUAAACAGAAAAGAAAUAGACAAAAGAAAA
Octopus sinensis (East Asian common octopus) is the source of this 154-nucleotide long non-coding RNA. RefSeq lists it as uncharacterized. The transcript has 3 exons. Lineage: Eukaryota; Metazoa; Mollusca; Cephalopoda; Octopoda; Octopodidae. The record is from RefSeq and is a predicted model, not a curated record.